Long non-coding RNA from Passer domesticus (house sparrow), 261 nucleotides. RefSeq lists it as uncharacterized. The transcript is spliced from 3 exons. The record is from RefSeq and is a predicted model, not a curated record. NCBI's taxonomy places the organism in Eukaryota, Metazoa, Chordata, Aves, Passeriformes, Passeridae.
GUAACCAAGACCUAUUGAUUUUAUACUGGAAGGUAAGAACUUUCCAGUAAAUUUAAAGGCACAUUCUUCAACAUAAAUUUACAAAUGAUCUGUCUGUGCAGGAUUUCAACAGCUCCAGUUUCUUUCAAAGAUGAUGCAUAUCUGGAAGUAUCUUACAGCAGCUGAAGUAAUUCUAGAUCUUGAAAGUGACACAAGGAGAGGCCAGGCUGCAUAAAACUCCAAAGCACGUUGUGGCUCAUCACUGUACUCAGAAAUUUCAAC